Molecule: ribosomal RNA, 430 nt
Filed under: uncultured Alphaproteobacteria bacterium
Lineage: Bacteria; Pseudomonadati; Pseudomonadota; Alphaproteobacteria
Description: bacterial SSU rRNA
Rfam family: Bacterial small subunit ribosomal RNA
Source: RNAcentral
AACGCGAAGAACCUUACCAGCCCUUGACAUCCCGGUCGCGGACUCCAGAGACGGAGUUCUUCAGUUCGGCUGGACCGGAGACAGGUGCUGCAUGGCUGUCGUCAGCUCGUGUCGUGAGAUGUUGGGUUAAGUCCCGCAACGAGCGCAACCCCCGUCCUUAGUUGCUACCAUUCAGUUGAGCACUCUAAGGAGACUGCCGGUGAUAAGCCGCGAGGAAGGUGGGGAUGACGUCAAGUCCUCAUGGCCCUUACGGGCUGGGCUACACACGUGCUACAAUGGCGGUGACAAUGGGACGCUAAGGGGCAACCCUUCGCAAAUCUCAAAAAGCCGUCUCAGUUCGGAUUGGGCUCUGCAACUCGAGCCCAUGAAGUUGGAAUCGCUAGUAAUCGUGGAUCAGCACGCCACGGUGAAUACGUUCCCGGGCCUUGUA